GCGGCGUGCCUAACACAUGCAAGUCGAGCGAAGUUUAUUAAAGGAAGUUUUCGGAUGGAAUUUAAUAAACUUAGCGGCGGACGGGUGAGUAACGCGUGGGCAACCUGCCCUGUACAGAGGGACAACAACGGGAAACCGUUGCUAAUACCUCAUAAAACCCUAAAGGGGCAUCCCUUAUGGGUCAAAGAAUUUCGGUACAGGAUGGGCCCGCGUCUGAUUAGCUAGUUGGUGAGGUAAUGGCUCACCAAGGCGACGAUCAGUAGCCGACCUGAGAGGGUGAUCGGCCACACUGGAACUGAGACACGGUCCAGACUCCUACGGGAGGCAGCAGUGGGGAAUAUUGCACAAUGGGGGAAACCCUGAUGCAGCAACGCCGCGUGAGCGAUGAAGGCCUUCGGGUCGUAAAGCUCUGUCCUAAGGGAAGAAAUUUGACGGUACCUUAGGAGGAAGCCCCGGCUAACUACGUGCCAGCAGCCGCGGUAAUACGUAGGGGGCAAGCGUUAUCCGGAAUCACUGGGCGUAAGGGUGCGUAGGCGGUCUUACAGUCAGGGUGAAGGCUACGGCUCACCGUAGUAGCCUUGAAACUGUAGGACGUGGUUCAGGAGAAGAAAGUG
RNAcentral lists this ribosomal RNA (614 nucleotides) under uncultured bacterium. Its description in RNAcentral is "bacterial SSU rRNA". It matches the Rfam family "Bacterial small subunit ribosomal RNA", at positions 39 to 663 of the family's 1533-position model. The record is from RNAcentral.